Molecule: ribosomal RNA, 253 nt
Filed under: uncultured bacterium
Lineage: Bacteria
Description: partial 16S ribosomal RNA
Rfam family: Bacterial small subunit ribosomal RNA
Source: RNAcentral
UACGAGUGCCCCGAGCGUUAUCCGGAAUUAUUGGGCGUAAAGCGCACGUAGGCGGCAUUGCAAGUCGGAUGUGAAAUCCCUCGGCUUAACCAAGGAAGUGCAUCCGAAACUGCAGUGCUUGAGUACGAAAGAGGAUCGCGGAAUUCCCGGUGUAGAGGUGAAAUUCGUAGAUAUCGGGAGGAACACCAGUGGCGAAGGCGGCGAUCUGGGUCGAUACUGACGCUGAGGUGCGAAAGCGUGGGGAGCAAACAGG